This 575-nucleotide ribosomal RNA is filed under the name uncultured bacterium. RNAcentral describes it as "partial 16S ribosomal RNA". It matches the Rfam family "Bacterial small subunit ribosomal RNA", at positions 355 to 923 of the family's 1533-position model. The record is from RNAcentral.
UGGGGAAUUUUGGACAAUGGGGGAAACCCUGAUCCAGCCAUCCCGCGUGUGCGAUGAAGGCCUUCGGGUUGUAAAGCACUUUUGGCAGGAAAGAAACGUCGCGGGUUAAUACCCCGCGAAACUGACGGUACCUGCAGAAUAAGCACCGGCUAACUACGUGCCAGCAGCCGCGGUAAUACGUAGGGUGCAAGCGUUAAUCGGAAUUACUGGGCGUAAAGCGUGCGCAGGCGGUUCGGAAAGAAAGAUGUGAAAUCCCAGAGCUUAACUUUGGAACUGCAUUUUUAACUACCGGGCUAGAGUGUGUCAGAGGGAGGUGGAAUUCCGCGUGUAGCAGUGAAAUGCGUAGAUAUGCGGAGGAACACCGAUGGCGAAGGCAGCCUCCUGGGAUAACACUGACGCUCAUGCACGAAAGCGUGGGGAGCAAACAGGAUUAGAUACCUUGGUAGUCCACGCCCUAAACGAUGUCAACUAGCUGUUGGGGCCUUCGGGCCUUGGUAGCGCAGCUAACGCGUGAAGUUGACCGCCUGGGGAGUACGGUCGCAAGAUUAAAACUCAAAUGAAUUGACGGGGUCGAU